ACAUCUUUCCGAACCUCUCUAGUGGCCGAGCCUCCGCAACACUCCCAAGUUUUACUGACGGAUAAGCCCCCACCAGCAUCGACCGGAUUCUUCACGACGGACGGACUCCACCCAAGUUUCCACGAUGAUCGACCACCUUCUAAACUUCGUCCGGAUUCCUAUGGGAGCCAGACUUCAUCUCGGACUCUGGCUACAGGAAGACUUCGUCCGGACUCCUACGGAAGUCGGAUUUCAUCCCCGACUUCAAUUGCAGGUAGACUUCGUUCGGACUCCUACGAGAGCCGGACUUCAUCCCCGACUUCAAUUGCAGGUAGACUUCGUCCGGACUCC
This 330-nucleotide long non-coding RNA is filed under the name Elaeis guineensis (African oil palm). RNAcentral's name for it is "long non-coding RNA (EGUI_LNC081803)". The record is from RNAcentral. Lineage: Eukaryota; Viridiplantae; Streptophyta; Magnoliopsida; Arecales; Arecaceae.